This 53-nucleotide transfer RNA is filed under the name Setaria digitata. RNAcentral describes it as "tRNA-Ser". Lineage: Eukaryota; Metazoa; Nematoda; Chromadorea; Rhabditida; Setariidae. The record is from RNAcentral.
GAGUUAAUUUUUUAGUUUUGAAAACUUUAUUUAGGCUUUUUAGUCUUUAACUU